AAAGCCAGCCCCUCUUUGUUUCCUUUCACUGUUGUGGACCGCAGAGUCUGGACUCCACUGAUGGUCAGAGUAAAAUCAGUUCUGGAUCCACUGCCACUGAAUCUAGAUGGAGUUCCAGUAUUACGGGUUGUUGCAUCAUAUAUAAGGAGUUUAGGAGCUUCUGCAGGUUUCUGUAAGUACCAGUGUAGGUAACUACUACCACACACUGCACUGCUGAUUUUACAGUUUAUUCUGACUUCUUGUCCUGGUUGAACUGCUAGUAUUGCUGGACUCUGAGUUACAGUGUACUGUCCUCUACACUCUGAGAGGAAAGAAAAAAAACAAAAACAAAAACAUAUAUUACACAUUUUAUGAGAAUUAAUGAUCAUUGUAAAAACAGUCUCACGCAAACCUUGAGCAAACAGAGUCAGAGUCCAGAUGAAGAAGGUGAUUGUGUUCAUUGUUGUUCUUUUGUCUUGUGUGAUGAUGAAGAUUGUGUCUGUUCUGCUCUCAGUCAUGAAGUGUUAAACUCACAGCACUAUAAACACUCUCAGAGCACUGAAGCAUGUGUCACAAUGCAAACAAGUGGGCAGGAUUUACAACAGACACACUAAUAUACACUAGAGUUACAGAAUGAUCAUUUACAUUCUGACUGUCUUACAAAAUAUAGACAAAACACAACAUUAAAUAUGUAAAUAUAGAUGACAAUCCUAAGUAAAGUCCUGAUUGUCUUGAUGGUUCUACAGAUUAUCUUAUCAGAUUUUCCUGAGAUGUGUUAAGAGUGACUGAAUCUGUUCGGAAGACUGUCAGAGCCGCCCUGAUUGUGAAUCGUAAAUAUUUAACAUUUUGAAAAUGUACGAUCAGAAAUCAUGUUGUGUGGGGGAACUGAGAACAAAUGCGCACACGCUCUGUAGAUUAUCACGUGAAAUAAAACGAUACCCAAUCAAAAAGAGCUGACAGAAGACUCACCUCCAGCUCGUGCUGUAACAUCUAAAGUACAUGUUCACACCGUAUAUAUAUAUAUAUAUAUAUAUAUAUAUAUAUAUAUAUAUAUAUAUAUAUAUAUAUUAGGGCUGUCAAGCGA
Megalobrama amblycephala (Wuchang bream) is the source of this 1063-nucleotide long non-coding RNA. RefSeq lists it as uncharacterized. The transcript has 2 exons. NCBI's taxonomy places the organism in Eukaryota, Metazoa, Chordata, Actinopteri, Cypriniformes, Xenocyprididae. The record is from RefSeq and is a predicted model, not a curated record.